GUCCGGCUGACGAGCCCGAAAUGGGACGAAACGCGUGUCCUAGAU
Non-coding RNA from Schistosoma mattheei, 45 nucleotides. The record is from Rfam. Lineage: Eukaryota; Metazoa; Platyhelminthes; Trematoda; Strigeidida; Schistosomatidae.